This 205-nucleotide long non-coding RNA is filed under the name Setaria italica (foxtail millet). RNAcentral's name for it is "long non-coding RNA (SITA_LNC002980)". The record is from RNAcentral. Lineage: Eukaryota; Viridiplantae; Streptophyta; Magnoliopsida; Poales; Poaceae.
AACGGCACCCAUGCGUUUAACGCUGCAUGGACAGCACAACAACUGUGGAAAUAGGUCCCCUUUGAAUGGAACCGUAUGACCCUUCGCAUACUCGUGAUGCGGAAUCAACGCAUGUAUAAUAGAAGUGGGCGAACAACCGUGAUGAUAGGCUCGUUGGAAUCGAACCAUACCACCCUUCGUAUGAGUUAACAUACGGAACCUGCGC